RNAcentral lists this ribosomal RNA (440 nucleotides) under Streptococcus mitis. Its description in RNAcentral is "bacterial SSU rRNA". It matches the Rfam family "Bacterial small subunit ribosomal RNA", at positions 28 to 460 of the family's 1533-position model. The record is from RNAcentral. Lineage: Bacteria; Bacillati; Bacillota; Bacilli; Lactobacillales; Streptococcaceae.
GACGAACGCUGGCGGCGUGCCUAAUACAUGCAAGUAGAACGCUGAAGGAGGAGCUUGCUUCUCCGGAUGAGUUGCGAGCGGGUGAGUAACGCGUAGGUAACCUGCCUGGUAGCGGGGGAUAACUAUUGGAAACGAUAGCUAAUACCGCAUAAGAGUAGAUGUUGCAUGACAUUUGCUUAAAAGGUGCAAUUGCAUCACUACCAGAUGGACCUGCGUUGUAUUAGCUAGUUGGUGGGGUAACGGCUCACCAAGGCGACGAUACAUAGCCGACCUGAGAGGGUGAUCGGCCACACUGGGACUGAGACACGGCCCAGACUCCUACGGGAGGCAGCAGUAGGGAAUCUUCGGCAAUGGACGGAAGUCUGACCGAGCAACGCCGCGUGAGUGAAGAAGGUUUUCGGAUCGUAAAGCUCUGUUGUAAGAGAAGAACGAGUGUGAGA